Molecule: non-coding RNA, 342 nt
Organism: halophilic archaeon J07HX5
Lineage: Archaea; Methanobacteriati; Methanobacteriota; Halobacteria; Halobacteriales
Source: Rfam
GGCAGAGGGAGCACGGCUCCCGUGUCCCAGAACGCAUAUCGUCAGGGACAUGAGGAAAGUCCCCCCACCGUCCGGGCAGGUGGCCGGGCGCAAGCCCGGGGCGGGAGACCGUCGGCACUGGAACAGAAACGAGACCGCUCCGUUCGACCGAUGAGGCGCGCGAACCUCGAGCGAGCCGUCAGGCGAAGCGACGGGGAGUCGAAACCCGCCGAGGGUCGACGACGGAGAAGGGAUGGAACGGCGAAUCCCCACCGGUGCAAGUCCGGCCUAACUGGUAGCCUGGACGCAGGGUCGGACGCUCAGCUGAAUGCCCAAACAGAAGGGGGCUUACUCCCCUCAGCC